UGAGGAAUAUUGGUCAAUGGGCGGGAGCCUGAACCAGCCAAGCCGCGUGAGGGAGGAAGGCCCUAUGGGUCGUAAACCUCUUUUGUCAGGGAACAAAAGCGAGUAUGUAUACUAGUCUGAGUGUACCUGAAGAAAAAGCAUCGGCUAACUCCGUGCCAGCAGCCGCGGUAAUACGGAGGAUGCGAGCGUUAUCCGGAUUUAUUGGGUUUAAAGGGUGCGUAGGCGGCGGUGCAAGUCAGCGGUAAAAGCCCGGGGCUCAACCCCAGCGAGCCGUUGAAACUGCAGUGCUAGAGAAGGCGAGAGGUACGCGGAAUGCGCAGUGUAGCGGUGAAAUGCAUAGAUAUCACACAGAACUCCGAUUGCGAAGGCAGCACACCGGCGCCCAACUGACGCUGAGGCACGAAAGCGUGGGGAUCAAAACAGGAGUUAGAUAAC
Molecule: ribosomal RNA, 435 nt
Filed under: uncultured bacterium
Lineage: Bacteria
Description: bacterial SSU rRNA
Rfam family: Bacterial small subunit ribosomal RNA
Source: RNAcentral